UACGAAGGGGGCUAGCGUUGUUCGGAAUCACUGGGCGUAAAGCGCACGUAGGCGGGUCGUUAAGUCGGGGGUGAAAUCCCAGAGCUCAACUCUGGAACUGCCUUCGAUACUGGCGAUCUUCGAGUCCGGGAGAGGUGAGUGGAACUCCGAGUGUAGAGGUGAAAUUCGUAGAUAUUCGGAAGAACACCAGUGGCGAAGGCGGCUCACUGGCCCGGUACUGACGCUGAGGUGCGAAAGCGUGGGGAGCAAACAGG
This 254-nucleotide ribosomal RNA is filed under the name uncultured bacterium. RNAcentral's name for it is "partial 16S ribosomal RNA". It matches the Rfam family "Bacterial small subunit ribosomal RNA", at positions 524 to 776 of the family's 1533-position model. The record is from RNAcentral.